CCUACGGGAGGCUGCAGUGGGGAAUAUUGGACAAUGGGGGCAACCCUGAUCCAGCCAUGCCGCGUGUGUGAAGAAGGCCCUCGGGUUGUAAAGCACUUUCAGUGAGGAAGAACGCCUGGUGGUUAAUACCCAUCAGGAAAGACAUCACUCACAGAAGAAGCACCGGCUAACUCCGUGCCAGCAGCCGCGGUAAUACGGAGGGUGCGAGCGUUAAUCGGAAUUACUGGGCGUAAAGCGCGCGUAGGUGGCUUGAUAAGCCGGUUGUGAAAGCCCCGGGCUCAACCUGGGAACGGCAUCCGGAACUGUCAAGCUAGAGUGCAGGAGAGGAAGGUAGAAUUCCCGGUGUAGAGGUGAAAUGCGUAGAGAUCGGGAGGAAUACCAGUGGCGAAGGCGGCCUUCUGGACUGACACUGACACUGAGGUGCGAAAGCGUGGGUAGCAAACAGGAUUAGAUACCCCAGUAGUC
Molecule: ribosomal RNA, 465 nt
Filed under: Vreelandella stevensii
Lineage: Bacteria; Pseudomonadati; Pseudomonadota; Gammaproteobacteria; Oceanospirillales; Halomonadaceae
Description: partial 16S ribosomal RNA
Rfam family: Bacterial small subunit ribosomal RNA
Source: RNAcentral